RNAcentral lists this ribosomal RNA (432 nucleotides) under uncultured bacterium. Its description in RNAcentral is "partial 16S ribosomal RNA". It matches the Rfam family "Bacterial small subunit ribosomal RNA", at positions 29 to 507 of the family's 1533-position model. The record is from RNAcentral.
ACGAACGCUGGCGGCAUGCCUAACACAUGCAAGUCGAACGAGACCUUCGGGUCUAGUGGCGCACGGGUGCGUAACGCGUGGGAACCUGCCCUUAGGUUCGGAAUAACUCCCCGAAAGGGGUGCUAAUACCGGAUAAUGUCUUCGGACCAAAGAUUUAUCGCCUUUGGAUGGGCCCGCGUUGGAUUAGCUAGUUGGUAGGGUAAAAGCCUACCAAGGCGACGAUCCAUAGCUGGUCUGAGAGGAUGAUUAGCCACACUGGGACUGAGACACGGCCCAGACUCCUACGGGAGGCAGCAGUGGGGAAUAUUGGACAAUGGGCGAAAGCCUGAUCCAGCAAUGCCGCGUGAGUGAUGAAGGCCUUAGGGUUGUAAAGCUCUUUUACCCGGGAUGAUAAUGACAGUACCGGGAGAAUAAGCUCCGGCUAACUCCGUG